UCACUAGCUGCUCUGCAUUAGCUCCACCAGGCCAGAGGAGGGGAGAACCGAGCAAUUGAUCUGCUCCAGUGAAGACAGGAAGAAGAGGGAAUCGAGCAGUGUGCUGAGUCCUGCUGGAUGGCUAAUUGAGGAGGUCAAGAAUCGUUGGCGGAGCUGCAGGGACCAGUUCCGCAAAGAGAUGAAACAUCGUGGGCGGAGCGGGUCUGGUCCCUCCAAGAAAAGGCCCUAUCUUUUCAAGGAGCAGCUGAUGUUCCUGCGCGAUGUUAUGGAGCUGCGUCCAACUGAAGACAACCUAGAGGAGGAAGCUGAUGAGUCGGGCCCGCACCAAUCAGGUGCAUGUGAGGAGGACACCACAUCAGCCCAGCCUUAAAGUGGAGCUGGACCAAGCUCAGCACCAUCAAGGCCUCCUGCAGCAUCUGGUGGCGAGUCCCCCACCUCCCCUCUGGCUCUACCCAGCAGGGCCAGACGACGGGCAAUGCCUCCUGCCGAGUCUAACAUCAAUUUGCAAGUUCUAGAUUAUUUAUCUAGAGCACGGCAGGAGGAUCAUCACGACAUGUUUGCCCGUAGUCUGGCCCAUUUUAUGCGUCAGCUACCUCCAGAACGACUACUGCGAACCAGAACUGCAUUAGAAAUAGUUCUGGAGGUAGCUAAUCGCCCCCAAGAGCCGACAGAAAUGUUUGACGCGCUGGAAAGCCUGCGCUGUCAUGGCAACAUAUUUAGCCCCCACCACCCUGCAGGUAGUCAGCCCUCACAGGGCCCCCAACAAUUUCAACCCCAAAGGGAUCCCUAUGGACCACCAACUGCCCCAUAUGUGCCACAGUUUCAGGGGGAACCCUGUUAGUCAGCAGGGACCAUCGUCCAGCCAACCUGGCCCAAGCCAGUACUCUGGACCACCUUCCCAGACACAAUUUCAUGGACCCCAAUAUCACGGCCCAUCGUCCAGCCAACCUGGCCCAAGCCAGUACUCUGGGCCCCCUUCCCAGACACAAGUAACUGGACCCCAAUAUCAGGGCCCAUCAUCCAGCCAACCUGGGCCUAGUCACUACUCCGGGCCUCAUUCCCAGCACCAAAUUUCUGCCCCUCAUUAUCAGGGAGCCUCGUCGCCAUCAAGACGUUAUGUCAAUUUAUAAUUUAUAUUUGUACCCUGUUUAUUUUUUUGGGAAAAGCCAGAAUAUACUGGA
Molecule: long non-coding RNA, 1181 nt
Organism: Bufo gargarizans (Asiatic toad)
Lineage: Eukaryota; Metazoa; Chordata; Amphibia; Anura; Bufonidae
Exons: 3
Source: RefSeq, a predicted model, not a curated record